This 881-nucleotide ribosomal RNA is filed under the name Microplana nana. RNAcentral describes it as "bacterial SSU rRNA". It matches the Rfam family "Eukaryotic small subunit ribosomal RNA", at positions 48 to 944 of the family's 1831-position model. Lineage: Eukaryota; Metazoa; Platyhelminthes; Tricladida; Geoplanidae. The record is from RNAcentral.
GCCAUGCAUGUCUAGUACAGAGACUAGUAUUCUAWAACCGCGGAUGGCUCAUUAUAACAGCUAUGAAUUGAGAGAAAUACACUUUAUUGCUACAUUAUACUGUAGAUAAUUCUAGGGCUAAUAUUAUUAAGAAUGCUGUGACUUCRGAAGCAGCGGAUUUAUUAGUUCAAAACUAACCUGUCUGCAAAGGCGGUAUUUUGAUGACUCUGGAUAACUUUACUGAUCGUACAACCUUGUGUUGACGACKAAUCUCUUGAKAUGGCUGACCUAUCAACUUUCGAUGGUAAGAUCAAAGCUUACCAUGGUUGUAACGGGUAACGGGGAAUCGUUGUUCGAUUCCGGAGAGGGAGCCUGAGAAACGGCUACCACAUCCACGGAAGGCAGCAGGCGCGUAAAUUACCCAAUACCGGCUCGGUGAGGUAGUGACAAAAAAUAACAAUAUGGGCCCUAGUGGUUUCAUAAUUGCAAUGAGAAUAUUUUAAAUACUUUAUCAAGUAUCAAUUGGAGGGCAAGUCUGGUGCCAGCACCCGCGGUAAUUCCAGCUCCAAAAGCGUAUAUUAAAGUUGUUGCAGUUAAAAAGCUCGUAGUUGAAAWUGGGGUAUCUAAAUGAAUUUUAAAUCUUUCGAUUUUAGUUCAUUAAGACCUUGUUUGUCGUGUAUAUUUUGUGGGUGCUUUAUUGCAUUUGCUUAAUAACCGGCUAGUUUACUUUGAAAAAAUUAGAGUGCUUAAAGCAGGCUUAUGCUUGUAUAUUGUUGCAUGGAAUAAUAAAAUAGGACUUUGGUUUUAUUUUGUUGGUUUUCGAAACUGAAGUAAUGAUUAAAAGAGACUGCCGGGGGCAUAUGUAUGCUGGUGUUAGAGGUGAAAUUCUUACAUCAUCAGCA